AUGACAGCUUCUACUCGUUCCUCGGCGAGGACGACGGCGUCGGCCACUUCCAACUCUUCGGAUCCCGCCAUGGCCUCGUGCUUAUCUUCGACAGAUCGCGGAACCAGGUCCUGGUACUGGACCCCUUCAAUGGCGAUAGGCACCGCAUCGCCGUUCCGCCCGAUUUCGAUGAGGGAGACCUCGAUCGGCGGGGCUGUGUCUCGCGCCGCCGGAGACGGACAGCACUUCCAAGUGGUCUUGGUAACCACACAGGUAUACGAGCAAGGAGAUACAGCGAUCGCCCGUGUUUACUCGUCGGGGACUGGCGGAUGGGGUGCUCUCAUCUCAUUACUGCUUCCACCCAAGCAUCGCACUUCCGUGAUUUGUACGGGAUUUCCCAGUAUCCUAGUUGGGCAUUCCCUGUACUGGUUGCUCUCUGACAUGAAAGUUAAGGAAAGAUCGGAUGGCAUCCUUGAGUUUGAUUUGGAGAGGCAGGUCCUAUCCCUGUUACCAGUGCCGGUGGAUGCCAUUCCUACCAAACUCCAGCUUAUGCGGGCAGUGGGUGGUGGCCUUGGUAUUUUCUUUCUGUCAAAAUUCAGCGUCCAAUUAUGGAAGAUGGAGACCGAUUCUGAUGGUGUUCCUUCAUGGGUGCUAGCAAGAACUGUUGAACUGGAUAAGCUAUUUCUCUUGAGUUCACGGAAGAAGAAGAGAGAGCCCCUAUGCAUAAAGGGGUUUGCUGAGUACAAUAGUGUGGUGUUCCUACGGACACCUACCGACCUCUUCACGAUCCAGCUUGAGUCGCUGAAGUUCAAGAAAGUUUCCAGAACCAACUUCGCGGCUCGCUAUCAUCCGUUCGAAAGCAUCUAUGUUGCAGGUGGCGUUCUGUGUGAUGGUUAUGAUUUUGGAAAAACAUCUUUUACUGGUAGCUAG
This 909-nucleotide ribosomal RNA is filed under the name Triticum aestivum (bread wheat). RNAcentral describes it as "partial small subunit ribosomal RNA". Lineage: Eukaryota; Viridiplantae; Streptophyta; Magnoliopsida; Poales; Poaceae. The record is from RNAcentral.